RNAcentral lists this ribosomal RNA (196 nucleotides) under Clostridioides difficile. Its description in RNAcentral is "partial 23S ribosomal RNA". It matches the Rfam family "Bacterial large subunit ribosomal RNA", at positions 2726 to 2925 of the family's 2925-position model. The record is from RNAcentral. Lineage: Bacteria; Bacillati; Bacillota; Clostridia; Peptostreptococcales; Peptostreptococcaceae.
CUGCCAAGGGCAUGGCUGGGUAGCUGUGUACGGAAUGGAUAAGCGCUGAAAGCAUCUAAGCGCGAAGCCAACUUCAAGAUAAGAUUUCCCACCGCAAGGGUAAGACCCCAGAAAGACUAUCUGGUUGAUAGGUCGAAGGUGUAAGUGCAGCAAUGUAUUUAGCUUAUCGAUACUAAUAGGUCGAGGACUUGACCAA